RNAcentral lists this ribosomal RNA (491 nucleotides) under uncultured bacterium. RNAcentral describes it as "partial 16S ribosomal RNA". It matches the Rfam family "Bacterial small subunit ribosomal RNA", at positions 28 to 507 of the family's 1533-position model. The record is from RNAcentral.
GAUGAACGCUGUCUACAGGCUUAACACAUGCAAGUCGAGGGGAAACGACGGGGAAGCUUGCUUCCCCGGGCGUCGACCGGCGCACGGGUGAGUAACGCGUAUCCAACCUGCCUCUGACUGAGGGAUAACCCGUCGAAAGUCGGCCUAAUACCUCAUGGCAUCGUCUGCGGGCAUCCAACGACGAUUAAAGAUUUCAUCGGUCAGGGAUGGGGAUGCGUCUGAUUAGCUUGUUGGCGGGGUAACGGCCCACCAAGGCUACGAUCAGUAGGGGUUCUGAGAGGAAGGUCCCCCACAUUGGAACUGAGACACGGUCCAAACUCCUACGGGAGGCAGCAGUGAGGAAUAUUGGUCAAUGGGCGGGAGCCUGAACCAGCCAAGUAGCGUGCAGGAUGACGGCCCUAUGGGUUGUAAACUGCUUUUAUGCGGGGAUAAAGUGAGGGACGUGUCCUUCAUUGCAGGUACCGCAUGAAUAAGGACCGGCUAAUUCCAUG